CAUCGAACUACCUUUCUCCAAUUGCUAACUCGAGCAUUGGCUGGAACGGAGAAGAGAGUGACCGACCUUGGGGUGCAGACUUAACGGAGGUGGUUAGGUCACAAUGGAAAUGGGAACGACGAUGAGGAGAUGCAAGCUUCGACGGAAGACGCUCGGCGGCUCUCGUUGUUGCUGCUGGUAGUCGAGACCCUCCACUCGCCGGAAUAGAAGAUGGUGGAGGCUUCGUCGGCGAUGUUGAGUAGUUGUCGUUGUUGGUUGUGGAAGCUCGACGGAAUUGCGUCGGCGUUUGAGCACAGGGAGGGAGACCGCAACAGG
This 315-nucleotide small RNA is filed under the name Vigna angularis var. angularis. RNAcentral describes it as "Non-protein coding transcript". The record is from RNAcentral. Lineage: Eukaryota; Viridiplantae; Streptophyta; Magnoliopsida; Fabales; Fabaceae.